Molecule: transfer RNA, 91 nt
Filed under: Alkalibacterium sp.
Lineage: Bacteria; Bacillati; Bacillota; Bacilli; Lactobacillales; Carnobacteriaceae
Description: tRNA-Ser
Source: RNAcentral
CGGGAGUUACUCAAGCUCGACUGAAGGCGAUGGACUCGAAAUCCGUUAGGCGGCUUCUUGUCGUGCGAGGGUUCAAAUCGCUCACUCUCGG